Peromyscus eremicus (cactus mouse) is the source of this 2123-nucleotide long non-coding RNA. RefSeq lists it as uncharacterized. NCBI's taxonomy places the organism in Eukaryota, Metazoa, Chordata, Mammalia, Rodentia, Cricetidae. The record is from RefSeq and is a predicted model, not a curated record. The transcript has 3 exons.
AAUAGUGGCAUUUAUUAAGAGACCUGUUCUCCUCUCACUGCCCCAGCUUAUGAAAAUUUGAUCAUGUCACACAGACAGAGCUGCGUGGCCAUUUAUUUAGGGUUAGAUUUUUGCGUGUGCGCUCACCCCUCCCCAUAUAUCCAAACCCAAGUCUGAGAUGAUCUUCUCAUUCUGUCCGUCCUCUUUACAGGAUGGGUGACUGAGAACACCUUGGGGGAACUGGACACGGGUGGGCAGGGCCUGGAAGUGUGUCACUAGAGACUGCGGUGGCUGAAGGCCAGGACCCCGGGCCUCCUGAGCGAUGGUGAUUAAUACCCACAAUAAUCAUACUUAAUAAUAAUCUAUCCUUGAUGACUCUGUGCCCUCCAGGCGAUGCGGCCUUGGGAAGGGCUCUGAGGCCAACCGUCCCACCUCCUGGAAAUUCUUGGAAACCCAGGCGGAGGAUGGCUGGAGGGACUGGGUGUUGGCAGGGUCAGAGGUCAUCAGGUGGCGCCUUGUGGGCGCCUAGGGGUCGAAUGCUAGAAUAACAGUGACAUUCUUGGACUGGACAAAAGCUGACGGUGAAGGCAGAGAGCUGGUACCUGUGCCGGGGGAGCUGUUUUUCAGCUUGGACGUUUGCCUCGACUCUUUCAUCCAGGGGAAUAUCUGUUUGGUGAGGGUAGAGUUGGAGCCGGGACCGCACUUGGGGGGGCCGCUUUUGCUGGGCCCGCUCCCGUUAUUGCUGUUGCUAGUGGUACUGGUAGGUGCGGCGCUGGGUGGGGGUGAGCCCGGCGGGGCGGGCAGGGGCUCUGGGGCCAGGCCGGGCCUCAUGCAGCUGCCGUUGAGCUCCUUGCUCUUGGCAUGUGGGGCGGCAUUGCCCAGGGACUGCAGGGAACACGCUGAGCGCUGGUAGUCACCCUCCAGGUGCGUAGCGGCCUGAAAGGGGGGCUGGGGAGGCCCGUCGUAGCCGAAACCAUUGCUGCCAGGAUACGAGGAGUAGCCUCCGAAGAGCGCAGCUGCCGUGUUGUCGUAGUAGGUGGCUUUCUGCAUCGCUGGGCGAGGCCCGGGCAGUGGGUGGCAACUUGCAAGGGCCUGAUACCCUCACGACCGGACAUUGGCACCCCUGGGGGUCACGUGACACGCCGGACCCCCCCUCCCCUUUCUGCCCCCCUCCUCCCGGGUCUGUUCCAAGCGGCUGACCUGCGGGGCGAGAGAAGAGACACACGGGGAGAAGAGGACUGGGCCUCGAAUCCAUCUUAGGAACUAAAAAGGGAACUGACAUCAAUAGGGAUUUUUUUCUUCUCUCCUCGCCAGGCUUUCUGCAGCAGACGCUGGGACCAAGCAUCUGACCUGACAUGGAUGCUUCUUGCUUCAACUUUAAUUUUAAAGAAAAAACAAAAUAAAACAAAACACCGAUUUUCAUUUUGAUUUUUUUUUUAAAGGAUUGUACUCCUUUGGGGAAUGCUUGGGAAUAGGAUACCAUUGCUUCGCGGACCAUGGCUUCCUUCCCUCCUGCUCGUACACCAGCCCCUGACCUUUCCUACAAUUUCUACUUACCUCCCCCCACCCAACUCUGGGAAAGGGCAAUUCCAGGGAGGGGGCACUAUUAGACUCCAAAAUAAAAGCAUCUUGGAGGCCCUCGUCCCAGUGUAGAGGCCUCUGUCUCCUCUCUCUCCUCUCUCCAGAUCCUUCCACCUAAGCAAAGUCUAGCCUGGAAGGAACUUGCAGAUCUUGGACCCAAGCCAGACUGAAAAGCAAGUUCAUCUGGGACCCUUCCCUCCAGGAAGAUCAUAACAGCCUAAGGUAGAAAAUUCCUGAAGAUUUUUAACCCCCAGAGCCAGUGGAACCAAGCCUCAUCCAUCUAUGUCCCAUCUGCAGGAAAAAAAGUAAAAAGAAAAAGAAAAGAUGGCACAACUGCUGGAAUUUUUCUACUGAGGUGGGGGAAAAUUAUUCAGGACGAAAAAGACUCAUAAAACAAUUUGAGCACUAUUCUUCUCUGGGUUUGGAAAGGGGGCUGUUUACUGAGGUUCCCAACAGCAAAAAUAAAUAAAUAAAUAAGAUGAUGCUCACUAUUUUAAUACAGCCUUUCAAAAGUGCACCAGAAAAAUAAAGCUUGACCACCGUGUCAGGGGAUUUUGUAUUCG